This 848-nucleotide long non-coding RNA is filed under the name Pogona vitticeps (central bearded dragon). RNAcentral's name for it is "lncRNA (ENSPVIG00000013636.1)". The record is from RNAcentral. Lineage: Eukaryota; Metazoa; Chordata; Lepidosauria; Squamata; Agamidae.
ACAAGAGCAGAGAUUUGGGAGGCACUUGCCUCCAGGCAGUUAGCAGGAGGCCUCUAUUAAUUAGUGCCUGGAACAAAUCUACUAGCAACGUUCACAUAUUAGAAGCUUCCUCUGAAAGCCCCCAGCCCCCAGCUCACCUGAUGGAGUUUCCUCUUUGGAAACCUCUGUGCCACAAAUUAGUUUUUUAAAGACACAAGUAGUUUUAUUCAGCAUUCUUUGCAUAAUUAGACUUUUUCCUUUCAGAGAUGCUGCCCCACUGUCUUCUCGGUCAAGAGGCUAGAAGAAUUUUGAGCCAGCAAUGAGUCAGGGAAACUUCACUGAGCUUUGUUGUUAUGUGCCAUCAAGUCAUUUCCAUUUUAUGGUGACCCUAACUGAGCGUUCAGUAGGAGCCUUUUGGCCACUUCUCCUUUCAGCAACAUGUUUUGAAACAGGGUCUGCUGUGGACAAAAGGACUUAUCUGUCCAGAAGGCACUUCUCAUGCUCCCUGUCACAUGCCAUUAUGCUGACUCUGGAGAGUAUGAAGCUGUGUAGAUGUGUCCUGACUCCUAAAAUGACUUCCAUGAAGGGAAAUACUAAUAAAGAAGAUCCACCCACUCCCAGUAGGAAGAGCCAACCCCUCCUAGAUAUGUAACAGUGAUGAAGAAGAAACACCAACAUGGACACUAGCUGCAUAGGAUGAUGAUCUCAACUUCCACACCAAUUCUGCAUGUCAGCGUGUGUUUUUAUAGGCAUGUUGAAGCAUCUGCCUCCAAACAAGGUAUACAGGGUUACUUACUUUAUUACUGUGAAUAUUUCAGUUCUGCCAGAAGAAGCAUGGUAAGACUGGAUGAGCAUUAUUGAUCAUUAAU